RNAcentral lists this non-coding RNA (26 nucleotides) under Mus musculus (house mouse). The record is from RNAcentral. Lineage: Eukaryota; Metazoa; Chordata; Mammalia; Rodentia; Muridae.
UGAAGACAGAAUCCAGUUCUCUUGAC